Molecule: ribosomal RNA, 1579 nt
Filed under: Escherichia coli
Lineage: Bacteria; Pseudomonadati; Pseudomonadota; Gammaproteobacteria; Enterobacterales; Enterobacteriaceae
Description: partial 23S ribosomal RNA
Rfam family: Bacterial large subunit ribosomal RNA
Source: RNAcentral
CUAUGUGUUGUUGGGUAGGGGAGCGUUCUGUAAGCCUGUGAAGGUGGCCUGUGAGGGUUGCUGGAGGUAUCAGAAGUGCGAAUGCUGACAUAAGUAACGAUAAAGCGGGUGAAAAGCCCGCUCGCCGGAAGACCAAGGGUUCCUGUCCAACGUUAAUCGGGGCAGGGUGAGUCGACCCCUAAGGCGAGGCCGAAAGGCGUAGUCGAUGGGAAACAGGUUAAUAUUCCUGUACUUGGUGUUACUGCGAAGGGGGGACGGAGAAGGCUAUGUUGGCCGGGCGACGGUUGUCCCGGUUUAAGCGUGUAGGCUGGUUUUCCAGGCAAAUCCGGAAAACCAAGGCUGAGGCGUGAUGACGAGGCACUACGGUGCUGAAGCGACAAAUGCCCUGCUUCCAGGAAAAGCCUCUAAGCAUCAGGUAACAUCAAAUCGUACCCCAAACCGACACAGGUGGUCAGGUAGAGAAUACCAAGGCGCUUGAGAGAACUCGGGUGAAGGAACUAGGCAAAAUGGUGCCGUAACUUCGGGAGAAGGCACGCUGAUAUGUAGGUGAAGCGACUUGCUCGUGGAGCUGAAAUCAGUCGAAGAUACCAGCUGGCUGCAACUGUUUAUUAAAAACACAGCACUGUGCAAACACGAAAGUGGACGUAUACGGUGUGACGCCUGCCCGGUGCCGGAAGGUUAAUUGAUGGGGUUAGCGGCAACGCGAAGCUCUUGAUCGAAGCCCCGGUAAACGGCGGCCGUAACUAUAACGGUCCUAAGGUAGCGAAAUUCCUUGUCGGGUAAGUUCCGACCUGCACGAAUGGCGUAAUGAUGGCCAGGCUGUCUCCACCCGAGACUCAGUGAAAUUGAACUCGCUGUGAAGAUGCAGUGUACCCGCGGCAAGACGGAAAGACCCCGUGAACCUUUACUAUAGCUUGACACUGAACAUUGAGCCUUGAUGUGUAGGAUAGGUGGGAGGCUUUGAAGUGUGGACGCCAGUCUGCAUGGAGCCGACCUUGAAAUACCACCCUUUAAUGUUUGAUGUUCUAACGUUGGCCCGUAAUCCGGGUUGCGGACAGUGUCUGGUGGGUAGUUUGACUGGGGCGGUCUCCUCCUAAAGAGUAACGGAGGAGCACGAAGGUUGGCUAAUCCUGGUCGGACAUCAGGAGGUUAGUGCAAUGGCAUAAGCCAGCUUGACUGCGAGCGUGACGGCGCGAGCAGGUGCGAAAGCAGGUCAUAGUGAUCCGGUGGUUCUGAAUGGAAGGGCCAUCGCUCAACGGAUAAAAGGUACUCCGGGGAUAACAGGCUGAUACCGCCCAAGAGUUCAUAUCGACGGCGGUGUUUGGCACCUCGAUGUCGGCUCAUCACAUCCUGGGGCUGAAGUAGGUCCCAAGGGUAUGGCUGUUCGCCAUUUAAAGUGGUACGCGAGCUGGGUUUAGAACGUCGUGAGACAGUUCGGUCCCUAUCUGCCGUGGGCGCUGGAGAACUGAGGGGGGCUGCUCCUAGUACGAGAGGACCGGAGUGGACGCAUCACUGGUGUUCGGGUUGUCAUGCCAAUGGCACUGCCCGGUAGCUAAAUGCGGAAGAGAUAAGUGCUGAA